GUUAUUAUGGCCGAACGGUUACGGCGUCCCAGCUAUAUGCGAGGGGAAACGUCAUCACUAGCGGGGAGGUCUCGGUUCGAAUCCGAGUGAUGACA
Mycena leptocephala is the source of this 95-nucleotide non-coding RNA. The record is from the annotation of a GenBank genome assembly. Lineage: Eukaryota; Fungi; Basidiomycota; Agaricomycetes; Agaricales; Mycenaceae.